This 501-nucleotide ribosomal RNA is filed under the name uncultured bacterium. RNAcentral's name for it is "bacterial SSU rRNA". It matches the Rfam family "Bacterial small subunit ribosomal RNA", at positions 791 to 1304 of the family's 1533-position model. The record is from RNAcentral.
UAGUCCACGCCGUAAACGAUGUCAACUAGCCGUUGGGUCCAUUUAAGGGCUUAGUGGCGCAGCUAACGCGAUAAGUUGACCGCCUGGGGAAUACGGCCGCAAGGCUAAAACUCAAAGGAAUUGGCGGGGACCCGCACAAGCAGCGGAGCGUGUGGUUUAAUUCGAGGCAACGCGAAGAACCUUACCGGGCCUUGACAUAUACGUGGUACUGAUCAGAAAUGUGAUGGACUCUUCGGAGAGCGUAUACAGGUGCUGCAUGGCUGUCGUCAGCUCGUGCCGUGAGGUGUUCGGUUAAGUCCGAUAACGAGCGCAACCCACGUCGUCAGUUACAAGUGUCUGGCGAGACUGCCGGUGAUAAGCCGGAGGAAGGUGUGGAUGACGUCAAGUCAGCAUGGCCUUUAUGGUCCGGGCUACACACACGCUACAAUGGCCGAUACAAUGGGUAGCGAAGCCGCGAGGUGAAGCCAAUCUUGCAAAGUCGGUCUCAGUUCGGAUUGCAGG